AGAAAACAUGCCCUUUCUCUGCCUUUCUGCUCCUUUUGGACCUCAAGGAAUUGGAUGAGGCCCACCCACAUUGGGGAGGGCCAUCUGCCUCACUCAGUCUACUGAUUCAAAUGCUAACCUCUUCUGGAAACGCCUUCACAGACACACCCAGAAGCAAUGUUUUACCAGCUAUCUGGACAUCCCGUAGCCCAGUCAAUUUUUUUUUUUUUUUUGAGGAAGAUUAGCCCUGAGCUAACAUCUGCUGCCAAUCCUCCUCUUUUUGCUGAGGAAGACUGGCCCUGAGCUAACAUCCGUGCCCAUCUUCCUCUACUUUCUAUGUGGGAUGCCUGCCACAGCAUGGCUUGCCAAGCCGUGCUAUGUCUGCACGUGGGAUCCAAACCAGUGAACCCCAGGCCGCUGAAGUGGAACGUGCGCAUAUUCGUAUGGAGCCAGCAGCGCUGGGCCCUGCGUUCCCGACGCCUUACACUGAAGCCAGAGAAGUCAGAGAAACCUGGAGGCACCGCCCCAUCCUCAGCCAACCACCUGGGAGCCAGCACGGGGCAGAAGGAAGAGUGUGAGAUUUGUUUGGCUAUCUGUAUUUCCGAAGCCUAAUAAAACUUGCAAACACUUUGACCUAGAAAUUCCAUCGCUAAGAAUUUACCCUAAAGGAACCAUCAAGGAUUAUGCAUAAAGGUUUAGCUAUAAGGAUAUUCACUGAAGGAUUAUGACGUCAAGGAUUUAUGACAGUAGGGGAAAAAAAUGGAAACAGCCCUCAGAAAUGGACUGACUAAAUGAAUUAGGCUGCAUUCACACAAAACACUGUAUGCAUUCCUCAUGCAGUUUUAAAAAAGUUAUUUGAAGAAAGAAAGAGAAGAGCAAACGAAAGGGAUGUCUAGUGUCAGGUGGAGCUUGGUUCAAAUUCUUGCUGUACUCCUUAUGAGCGGUGUGACCAUCAUCUACUUAAUUAACUUCUCUGGGCCACUUGUUUCCUGGUCUGUAAAAUGGUCAUACUAUAGGGGCCGGCCUCAUGGCUGAGUGGUUAAGUUUGCGUGCUCCGCUUCGGCAGGCUGGUGUUUCGUGGGUUUGGAUCCUGGGCGCAGACAUGGCACGGCUCAUCAGGCCAUGCUGAGGCGGCACCCCACAUCCACAACUAGAAGGACUCACAACUAAAAAUACACAACUAUGUACCAGGGGACUUUGGGGAGAAAAAGGAAAAAUAAAAUCUUAAAAAAAAAUGGGUAUACUAUCAAAUAUGUUGUGUUAAUCAGGAUGGCUUACUGCUGUGACAAAUAACCACAAAAUCUCACUGGCUUAAUGCAACAAAGGUGUAUUUCUCUCUCAUGCCAUGUCUGAUGCAGAUGUUCCUGGGCAGGUGUCUUCCAACUGAUGGACUCGAGGAUUGGGUCCCUUUUCAUCACAAGCCUCCAUCCUCUUAAACUUCUUUGCUCCCUUCCACGAGGACAGGAGAGAGAGCAUAAUAGAUUGGACAGGAUGCUUUAUGGCCAGGCCUGGUAGAGGGGGUGCGUCACUUCUGCUCAUGGCCUAUUGCUCACGUCCUAGCUGCAAGGGGUCUGGGAAAUGUAGUGCCAGCACUCAGGAAGAGGAAAUGGGUUCCGUGAGCCCCCGGCUUUGUCUCUGAC
This 1619-nucleotide long non-coding RNA is filed under the name Equus asinus (donkey). Its description in RNAcentral is "lncRNA (ENSEASG00005024060.1)". The record is from RNAcentral. Lineage: Eukaryota; Metazoa; Chordata; Mammalia; Perissodactyla; Equidae.